This 441-nucleotide ribosomal RNA is filed under the name uncultured bacterium. RNAcentral's name for it is "partial 16S ribosomal RNA". It matches the Rfam family "Bacterial small subunit ribosomal RNA", at positions 338 to 795 of the family's 1533-position model. The record is from RNAcentral.
CCUACGGGGGGCAGCAGUGGGGGAUAUUGCACAAUGGGGGGAACCCUGAUGCAGCGACGCCGCGUGGGUGAAGGAGUGCUUCGGCAUGUAAAGCCCUAUCGGCAGGGAAGAAGCAAGACGGUACCUGACUAAGAAGCCCCGGCUAACUACGUGCCAGCAGCCGCGGUAAUACGUAGGGGGCGAGCGUUAUCCGGAUUUAUUGGGUUUAAAGGGAGCGUAGGCCGGCUUUUAAGUCAGCUGUGAAAGUCCGCGGCUCAACCGUGGAAUUGCAGUUGAAACUGGAGGCCUUGAGUGCACACAGGGAUGGCGGAAUUCAUGGUGUAGCGGUGAAAUGCUUAGAUAUCAUGAAGAACUCCGAUCGCGAAGGCAAGUGUCCGGGGUGCAACUGACGCUGAGGCUCGAAAGUGCGGGUAUCAAACAGGAUUAGAUACCCCAGUAGUC